This 326-nucleotide ribosomal RNA is filed under the name uncultured eukaryote. Its description in RNAcentral is "partial 18S ribosomal RNA". It matches the Rfam family "Eukaryotic small subunit ribosomal RNA", at positions 1470 to 1796 of the family's 1831-position model. The record is from RNAcentral.
CCCCUAGACGUUCUGGGCUGCACGCGCGCUACAAUAAUACGCACAGCGAGUAUCACCGAGCUCGAAAGGGCAAGGUAAACAAUAGAAAAGGUACUGUAAUGGUUAUAGAUCCUUGUAAUUAUUGAUCUUCAACGAGGAAUUCCUAGUAAGUAUGUGUCAUCAUCACGCACUGAUUACGUCCCUGCCCUUUGUACACACCGCCCGUCGCUCCUACCGAUUGAGUGGUCCGGUGAGGCUUUGGGAUCUGAGCGGAAAGAGUGUUUCGCUGUUUCUGCUCGGAAAACUCAGUCGAACCUUAUCAUUUAGAGGAAGGAGAAGUCGUAACA